AUUGAACGCUGGCGGCAUGCUUUACACAUGCAAGUCGAACGGCAGCACGGGGGCGAACCCUGGUGGCGAGUGGCGAACGGGUGAGUAACACAUCGGAACGUGUCCUGUUGUGGGGGAGUAACCAGUCGAAAGACGGGCUAAUACCGCAUGAGCUGGAGACAGGAAAGCGGGGACGUCGUAAGGCCUCGUGCGAUUGGAGCGGCCGAUGUCCGAUUAGCUAGUUGGUGAGGUAAAGGACUCACCAAGGCAACGAUCGGUAGCUGGUCUGAGAGGAUGAUCAGCCACACUGGGACUGAGACACGGCCCAGACUCCUACGGGAGGCAGCAGUGGGGAAUUUUGGACAAUGGGGCAACCCUGAUCCAGCCAUGCCGCGUGAGUGAAGAAGGCC
This 389-nucleotide ribosomal RNA is filed under the name uncultured bacterium. RNAcentral describes it as "bacterial SSU rRNA". It matches the Rfam family "Bacterial small subunit ribosomal RNA", at positions 29 to 416 of the family's 1533-position model. The record is from RNAcentral.